UACGUAGGGUCCGAGCGUUGUCCGGAAUUAUUGGGCGUAAAGAGCUCGCAGGCGGUGUGUCGCGUCGGCCGUGAAAACCUGCAGCUUAACGGUGGGCUUGCGGUCGAUACGGGCAUCACUGGAGUUCGGCAGGGGAGACUGGAAUUCCUGGUGUAGCGGUGAAAUGCGCAGAUAUCUGGAGGAAUACCGGUGGCGAAAGCGGCAUCCUGGACCGACAUUGACGCUGAGGAGCGAAAGCUAGGGGAGCAAACGGG
RNAcentral lists this ribosomal RNA (254 nucleotides) under uncultured bacterium. RNAcentral's name for it is "partial 16S ribosomal RNA". It matches the Rfam family "Bacterial small subunit ribosomal RNA", at positions 524 to 776 of the family's 1533-position model. The record is from RNAcentral.